UACGUAGGGGGCAAGCGUUGUCCGGAUUUAUUGGGCGUAAAGAGCGUGUAGGCGGCCAGGUAGGUCCGGUGUGAAAACUCGAGGCUUAACCUCGAGAUGUCAUCGGAAACCAUUUGGCUAGAGUCCGGAAGAGGAAAGUGGAAUUCCUGGUGUAGCGGUGAAAUGCGUAGAGAUCGGGAGGAACACCAGAGGCGAAGGCGGCGACCUGGACAGAUACUGACACUCAACUACGAAAGCGUGGGGAGCAAACAGG
RNAcentral lists this ribosomal RNA (253 nucleotides) under uncultured bacterium. Its description in RNAcentral is "partial 16S ribosomal RNA". It matches the Rfam family "Bacterial small subunit ribosomal RNA", at positions 524 to 776 of the family's 1533-position model. The record is from RNAcentral.